RNAcentral lists this ribosomal RNA (260 nucleotides) under uncultured bacterium. Its description in RNAcentral is "partial 16S ribosomal RNA". It matches the Rfam family "Bacterial small subunit ribosomal RNA", at positions 91 to 354 of the family's 1533-position model. The record is from RNAcentral.
ACGAGUGGCGGACGGGUGAGUAAUGUCUGGGAAACUGCCCGGUGGAGGGGGAUAACUACUGGAAACGGUAGCUAAUACCGUAUAACGUCGCAAGACCAAAGAGGGGGACCUUCGGGCCUCUUGCCACCGGAUGUGCCCAGAUGGGAUUAGCUUGUUGGUGAGGUAACGGCUCACCAAGGCGACGAUCCCUAGCUGGUCUGAGAGGAUGACCAGCCACACUGGAACUGAGACACGGUCCAGACUCCUACGGGAGGCAGCAG